AAUCAUCGCUGCUGCUAUCGGAAUUAAGAGUAUUUAAAGGCUUUUUAAAAACAAAGGAUUCUAUAGGAGGAGGUGCAGCUGAUUUAUGCCUAUGCUUAUUAGGCGGUGUCGUUUUGAGAACGCGCGACGGCUUGAAAGAGUGGUUGUCCCACUCGUCGUCGGAGAUUUCGUCGAAAGCGCGCUUCAUUCUUCCAUCAAUAUACAGAGAGAAAGAGAAAUCGAAAAGCAAGAUAAGAAUAGCAGUAGGAAUAACAGUAUAAAUUAGGUUAAAGAGGAAGAGGAGUCGCUCAUAACAGAGAAUCCAAGGGUGCUAAGAGGAACGGAGGCAGCGCCAUUUGUAAU
RNAcentral lists this unclassified non-coding RNA (342 nucleotides) under Hevea brasiliensis (rubber tree). The record is from RNAcentral. Lineage: Eukaryota; Viridiplantae; Streptophyta; Magnoliopsida; Malpighiales; Euphorbiaceae.